Molecule: ribosomal RNA, 497 nt
Filed under: uncultured bacterium
Lineage: Bacteria
Description: partial 16S ribosomal RNA
Rfam family: Bacterial small subunit ribosomal RNA
Source: RNAcentral
GAUGAACGCUGGCGGCGUGCCUAAUACAUGCAAGUCGAGCGAACGGACGAGAAGCUUGCUUCUCUGAUGUUAGCGGCGGACGGGUGAGUAACACGUGGAUAACCUACCUAUAAGACUGGGAUAACUUCGGGAAACCUUAGCUAAUACCGGAUAAUAUUUUGAACCGCAUGGUUCAAAAGUGAAAGACGGUCUUGCUGUCACUUAUAGAUGGAUCCGCGCUGCAUUAGCUAGUUGGUAAGGUAACGGCUUACCAAGGCAACGAUGCAUAGCCGACCUGAGAGGGUGAUCGGCCACACUGGAACUGAGACACGGUCCAGACUCCUACGGGAGGCAGCAGUAGGGAAUCUUCCGCAGUGGGCGAAAGCCUGACGGAGCAACGCCGCGUGAGUGAUGAAGGUCUUCGGAUCGUAAAACUCUGUUAUUAGGGAAGAACAUAUGUGUAAGUAACUGUGCACAUCUUGACGGUACCUAAUCAGAAAGCCACGGCUAACUACGUG